RNAcentral lists this ribosomal RNA (253 nucleotides) under uncultured bacterium. Its description in RNAcentral is "partial 16S ribosomal RNA". It matches the Rfam family "Bacterial small subunit ribosomal RNA", at positions 524 to 776 of the family's 1533-position model. The record is from RNAcentral.
UACGUAGGGGGCAAGCGUUGUCCGGAAUUAUUGGGCGUAAAGAGCGUGUAGGCGGUUCGGUAAGUCGGCUGUGAAAGUCCAGGGCUCAACCCUGGGAUGCCGGUCGAUACUGCCGAACUAGAGUUCGGAAGAGGCGAGUGGAAUUCCCGGUGUAGCGGUGAAAUGCGCAGAUAUCGGGAGGAACACCUAUGGCGAAGGCAGCUCGCUGGGACGUUACUGACGCUGAGACGCGAAAGCGUGGGGAGCAAACAGG